This 406-nucleotide ribosomal RNA is filed under the name uncultured bacterium. Its description in RNAcentral is "partial 16S ribosomal RNA". It matches the Rfam family "Bacterial small subunit ribosomal RNA", at positions 28 to 526 of the family's 1533-position model. The record is from RNAcentral.
GACGAACGCUGGCGGCGUGCCUAAUACAUGCAAGUCGAACGAGUGGCGGACGGGUGAGUAACGCUUGGGAAUCCAGCUUCUGGAGGGGGAUAACUACGGGAAACCGUAGCUAAUAACGCGUACCAGAGGAUGCGGAUAGGUGGGAUUAGGGAGUUGGUGAGGUAUAGGCCCACCAAGCCGACGCACGCUAGCUGGUCAGAGAGGAGGAUCGGCCACACUGGGACUGAGACACGGCCCAGACUCCGACGGGAGGCAGCAGUGGGGAAUAUGUGGCAAUGGGGGAAAGCGUGACGCAGCCAUGCCGCGUGAGUGAAGAAGGCCUUCGGGUUGUAAAGUUCGUUCGGUAGCGAGGCGUUAACUACAGAAGAAGCACCGGCUAACUCCGUGCCAGCAGCCGCGGUAAUUC